Molecule: RNase P RNA, 411 nt
Filed under: Fulvivirga marina
Lineage: Bacteria; Pseudomonadati; Bacteroidota; Cytophagia; Cytophagales; Fulvivirgaceae
Description: Bacterial RNase P class A
Rfam family: Bacterial RNase P class A
About the family: Ribonuclease P (RNase P) is a ubiquitous endoribonuclease, found in archaea, bacteria and eukarya as well as chloroplasts and mitochondria. Its best characterised activity is the generation of mature 5'-ends of tRNAs by cleaving the 5'-leader elements of precursor-tRNAs.
Source: Rfam by way of RNAcentral
AAUGCAAGCUGGCUUAUCGUUCUUCGGAAUACCGAAGGAAGGAAAGUCCGGGCAACACAGAGCAUCGUACUUCCUAACGGGAAGGCUUCUCGGUUCUACCGAGGGGACAGACAGUGCCACAGAAAACAAACUACCUCUGAUUACUAUCAGCGGAAAAGGUGAAAAGGUGAGGUAAGAGCUCACCGCCCCGAAGGUAACUAAGGGGGCACGGUAAACCUUACGAGUUGAAAGAUCAAAUAAGUCACGCUAGCCUGCCUAGGCGGCUGUCAGGCUGCUCGUCUGACUUUCUUCGGAAAUAAGCGUGAUGGGUAGAUCGCUUUUGAUCUCAACGGUGACGUUGAGGCUAGAUAAAUGAUAAGCCAUCCCGACUUGUCGGGAGGACAGAACCCGGCUUACAGGCUUGCAUUUUUU